UACGUAGGGGGCAAGCGUUGUCCGGAAUUAUUGGGCGUAAAGCGCGCGCAGGCGGUCUCUUAAGUCUGAUGUGAAAGCCCACGGCUCAACCGUGGAGGGUCAUUGGAAACUGGGAGACUUGAGGGGAGGAGAGGAAAGUGGAAUUACACGUGUAGGGGUGAAAUGCGUAGAGAUGUGGAGGAACACCAGUGGCGAAGGCGACUUUCUGGCCUAUAACUGACGCUGAGGCGCGAAAGCGGGGGGAGCAAACAGG
This 253-nucleotide unclassified non-coding RNA is filed under the name uncultured Sporolactobacillaceae bacterium. Its description in RNAcentral is "contains 16S-23S intergenic spacer region". It matches the Rfam family "Bacterial small subunit ribosomal RNA", at positions 524 to 776 of the family's 1533-position model. Lineage: Bacteria; Bacillati; Bacillota; Bacilli; Caryophanales; Sporolactobacillaceae. The record is from RNAcentral.